GGGGGGGGGGGGGGGGGGGGGGGGGGGGGGGGGGGGGGGCCGCGCUCCCAGAGACGGGCGCGGUGACGGCCGGCAGCCGGGGCUCUGGCGUCGGGCGGCAUGUGCCGCUGCCCGACGGAAGAUGGGCUGUACUGCCUGUGCCUGGCCCCUGUUAGCCUGGAGAAAUUAUUUAAGAAGCUGAUUAUGGAUUCAGGAAGCAGAGUAGCUGCAGUUUUCAUCUGCUCUGAGGAGGAAGAAAGAAAGAAGAUUGAAGCUGCAACCAUGUUGUGAAGGAUUGCACUUUAGCACUGUUUGCUUUAGGAUGGUGCAACAGAGCAACGCUGAGGAAGCAGAACAGAGGACAAGUAAAAUGGCUUUGCUUGAGGAAAAUGCCAUGAAACACUGCAAGAUGUGGAAAGGGAGUCAGCUGCAGUACGUGCCUCAAAACUCAUGACGGGCCAGCACUGGAGAUCCAGCGAAUGCUGGGAGAGAAUAAUGGAUUGAAUUCUCUCAGAGAGAGCCCUGUAAGCAUGUGACCAUGCUACAGAAGAUUCCCUAGACUAGAGAGCAAUAUAGAUACAGCCAGCAGUACAGAGCAGACACCGGGACGGGCUGAUGAUGGAGCGCCAUCUGCUAAGCAGCAAGUUCUCUGCAGAGGAGCUCUUUACGUGGAGCAGAUCCCUAUAGCUGCAGUUUUGAAAAUAAUACCUUCUGGUGGAAGAAGUUAAAAUAAAGCUAAAACUUGAAGGGACUCCAGCUUCCUUUAUUAUCCCUGAAAUUGUCACUGAUUCAAAUAAAAACUCAAAGCAUUCUGUAAUGUUUUUUUCUCCAUGGUUUUGGCAGCACUACACUGUUGCUGAAGCUCUCAGUCUGUUGAAUGUCUGGAAGACCAUGUAGUAUUACACAUAACUAGGGCAGUCACUUCCCUUUGUGUCUGAUCCAGCAACCCAGUAUGAUUUGUGCAAUCUAGAAUGGCAAGAAUUAACAUGACACAUCUGAGGAAACGUGAGACCAGCUUCACAGCUAAUAAAACAGAAGACAGUUGAUCAAAUAAAA
RNAcentral lists this long non-coding RNA (1035 nucleotides) under Ficedula albicollis (Collared flycatcher). RNAcentral describes it as "lncRNA (ENSFALG00000024568.1)". The record is from RNAcentral. Lineage: Eukaryota; Metazoa; Chordata; Aves; Passeriformes; Muscicapidae.